AUUGAACGCUGGCGGCAUGCCUUACACAUGCAAGUCGAACGGCAGCACGGGAGCUUGCUCCUGGUGGCGAGUGGCGAAUGGGUGAGUAAUACAUCGGAACGUACCCUGAAGUGGGGGAUAACGUAGCGAAAGUUACGCUAAUACCGCAUAUUCUGUGAGCAGGAAAGAGGGGGAUCGCAAGACCUCUUGCUUUAGGAGCGGCCGAUGUCGGAUUAGCUAGUUGGUGAGGUAAAGGCUCACCAAGGCGACGAUCCGUAGCGGGUCUGAGAGGAUGAUCCGCCACACUGGGACUGAGACACGGCCCAGACUCCUACGGGAGGCAGCAGUGGGGGAAUUUUGGACAAUGGGCGCAAGCCUGAUCCAGCCAUGCCGCGUGAGUGAAGAAGGCCU
This 390-nucleotide ribosomal RNA is filed under the name uncultured bacterium. RNAcentral's name for it is "bacterial SSU rRNA". It matches the Rfam family "Bacterial small subunit ribosomal RNA", at positions 30 to 417 of the family's 1533-position model. The record is from RNAcentral.